Molecule: long non-coding RNA, 192 nt
Organism: Pipistrellus kuhlii (Kuhl's pipistrelle)
Lineage: Eukaryota; Metazoa; Chordata; Mammalia; Chiroptera; Vespertilionidae
Exons: 3
Source: RefSeq, a predicted model, not a curated record
AAAGAAAUGGACCUAAUCAGACACUUCUCCAAAGAUGAUGACAUAUGGAUGGCCAAUAGACAUCUGAAAAAAUGUUCAAGGUCACUAAUCAUUAGAGAUGCAAAUAAAAAUUAUAAUGAGGUAUCACCUCAUACCUGUCAGAAUAAAUACUAACAAUAAAACAACAAACAACAAGUGCUGGGGAGGAUGUGG